This 494-nucleotide ribosomal RNA is filed under the name uncultured bacterium. RNAcentral's name for it is "partial 16S ribosomal RNA". It matches the Rfam family "Bacterial small subunit ribosomal RNA", at positions 28 to 507 of the family's 1533-position model. The record is from RNAcentral.
GACGAACGCUGGCGGCGCGCUUAACACAUGCAAGUCGAACGGAAAGGCCUGCUUUCCCUUGUGGAUUGCGGGUACUCGAGUGGCGAACGGGCGAGUAACACGUGAGUGAUCUGCCCCCAACUUGGGUAUAAGCCUGGGAAACUGGGUCUAAUUCCCGAUAGGACUGCAGGGUGGUGCCUGUGGUGGAAAACGAUUUUCUAGUGGUUGGGGAUGAGCUCGCGGCCUAUCAGCUUGUUGGUGGGGUAAUGGCCUACCAAGGCGGCGACGGGUAGCCGGCCUGAGAGGGUGGACGGCCACAUUGGGACUGAGAUACGGCCCAGACUCCUACGGGAGGCAGCAGUGGGGAAUAGUGCACAAUGGGCGGAAGCCUGAUGCAGCGACGCCGCGUGGGGGAUGACGGCCUUCGGGUUGUAAACUCCUUCCGACCGCGAGGAAGCCACCUGGUUGGAAGGGUGGUGACGGUAGUGGUAGAAGAAGCACCGGCUAACUACGUG